UACGUAGGGUGCAGGCGUUAAUCGGAAUUACUGGGCGUAAAGCGUGCGCAGGCGGUUUGCUAAGACAGGUGUGAAAUCCCCGGGCUAACCUGGGAACUGCGCUUGUAACUGGCAAGCUAGAGUGUGGCAGAGGGGGGUGGAAGUUCCGACGUGUAGCAGUGAAAUGACGUAGAGAUGUGGAGGAACACCGAUGGCGAAGGCAGCCCCCUG
This 210-nucleotide ribosomal RNA is filed under the name uncultured bacterium. RNAcentral's name for it is "partial 16S ribosomal RNA". It matches the Rfam family "Bacterial small subunit ribosomal RNA", at positions 524 to 731 of the family's 1533-position model. The record is from RNAcentral.